AGGCUUAAUACAUGCAAGUCGAACGGUUUGUAGCAAUACAGCAGUGGCAGACGGGUGAGUAACACGUGGGAACCUACCUAGGGGUACGGAAUAACUCAGGGAAACUUGUGCUAAUACCGUAUACGACCUUCGGGUGAAAGAUUUAUCGCCCCUAGAUGGGCCCGCGUUGGAUUAGCUAGUUGGUGGGGUAAAAGCCUACCAAGGCGACGAUCCAUAGCUGGUCUGAGAGGAUGAUCAGCCACACUGGGACUGAGACACGGCCCAGACUCCUACGGGAGGCAGCAGUAGGGAAUCUUGGACAAUGGGCGAAAGCCUGAUCCAGCCAUGCCGCGUGAGUGAUGAAGGCCUUAUUGGUUGUAAAGCUCUUUCGCCAGGGAAGAUAAUGACGGUACCUGGAUAAGAAGCCCCGGCUAACUUCGUGCCAGCAGCCGCGGUAAUACGAAGGGGGCUAGCGUUGUUCGGAAUUACUGGGCGUAAAGCGCACGUAGGCGGUUUUCCAAGUUGGAGGUGAAAUCCCUGGGCUCAACCCGGGAACUGCCUCCAAAACUGGAUGACUCGAGUCCGAGAGAGGUGAGUGGAAUUUCCAGUGUAGAGGUGAAAUGCGUAGAUAUGGGAAAGAACACCAGUUGGCAAAGGCGGCUCACUGGCUCGGUACUGACGCGGAGGUGCAACAGCUUGGGGAACAACAAGGAUUAAAUACCCUGGUANUACACGCGGUAAACAAUGGUUGCANUUGUUCGGCACUGGCUCGUAACAGCAUGACGCGGUGAAUACGUUCCCGGGCCUUGUACACACCGCCCGUCACACCAUGGGAGUUGGUUUUACCCGAAGCUGGUGCGCUAACCGCAAGGAGGCAGCCAACCACGGUAAGGUCAGCGACUGGGGUGAAGUCGUAACAAGGUAGCCAACUGCAGGAGCAUGUGGUUUAAUUCGACGCAUCGCGCAGAACCUUACCAACCCUUGACAUCCCGGUCGCGGUUACCAGAGAUGGUUUCCUUCAGUUCGGCUGGACCGGAGACAGGUGUUGCAUGGCUGUCGUCAGCUCGUGUCGUGAGAUGUUGGGUUAAGUCCCGCAACGAGCGCAACCCUCGCCUUUAGUUGCCAUCAUUUAGUUGGGCACUCUAGAGGGACUGCCGGUGAUAAGCCGGAGGAAGGUGGGGAUGACGUCAAGUCCUCAUGGCCCUUACGGGUUGGGCUACACACGUGCUACAAUGGCGGCGACAAUGGGCAGCGAAGGGGCGACCCGGUGCAAAUCCCAAAAAGCCGUCUCAGUUCGGAUUGUACUCUGCAACUCGAGUGCAUGAAGGUGGAAUCGCUAGUAAUCGCGUAACAGCAUGACGCGGUGAAUACGUUCCCGGGCCUUGUACACACCGCCCGUCACACCAUGGGAGUUGGUUUUACCCGAAGCUGGUGCGCUAACCCGCAAGGAGGCAGCCAACCACGGUAAGGUCAGCGACUGGGGUGAANUUCUUAACAAGGUACCCCAGGGCC
Molecule: ribosomal RNA, 1491 nt
Filed under: uncultured bacterium
Lineage: Bacteria
Description: bacterial SSU rRNA
Rfam family: Bacterial small subunit ribosomal RNA
Source: RNAcentral